RNAcentral lists this ribosomal RNA (3062 nucleotides) under Campylobacter jejuni. Its description in RNAcentral is "bacterial LSU rRNA". It matches the Rfam family "Bacterial large subunit ribosomal RNA". Lineage: Bacteria; Pseudomonadati; Campylobacterota; Epsilonproteobacteria; Campylobacterales; Campylobacteraceae. The record is from RNAcentral.
GUAAGCUACUAAGAGCGAAUGGUGGAUGCCUUGACUGGUAAAGGCGAUGAAGGACGUACUAGACUGCGAUAAGCUACGGGGAGCUGUCAAGAAGCUUUGAUCCGUAGAUUUCCGAAUGGGGCAACCCAAUGUAUAGAGAUAUACAUUACCUAUAUAGGAGCGAACGAGGGGAAUUGAAACAUCUUAGUACCCUCAGGAAAAGAAAUCAAUAGAGAUUGCGUCAGUAGCGGCGAGCGAAAGCGCAAGAGGGCAAACCCAGUGCUUGCACUGGGGGUUGUAGGACUGCAAUGUGCAAGAGCUGAGUUUAGCAGAACAUUCUGGAAAGUAUAGCCAUAGAGGGUGAUAGUCCCGUAUGCGAAAAACAAAGCUUAGCUAGCAGUAUCCUGAGUAGGGCGGGACACGAGGAAUCCUGUCUGAAUCCGGGUCGACCACGAUCCAACCCUAAAUACUAAUACCAGAUCGAUAGUGCACAAGUACCGUGAGGGAAAGGUGAAAAGAACUGAGGUGAUCAGAGUGAAAUAGAACCUGAAACCAUUUGCUUACAAUCAUUCAGAGCACUAUGUAGCAAUACAGUGUGAUGGACUGCCUUUUGCAUAAUGAGCCUGCGAGUUGUGGUGUCUGGCAAGGUUAAGCAAACGCGAAGCCGUAGCGAAAGCGAGUCUGAAUAGGGCGCUUAGUCAGAUGCUGCAGACCCGAAACGAAGUGAUCUAUCCAUGAGCAAGUUGAAGCUAGUGUAAGAACUAGUGGAGGACUGAACCCAUAGGCGUUGAAAAGCCCCGGGAUGACUUGUGGAUAGGGGUGAAAGGCCAAUCAAACUUCGUGAUAGCUGGUUCUCUCCGAAAUAUAUUUAGGUAUAGCGUUGUGUCGUAAUAUAAGGGGGUAGAGCACUGAAUGGGCUAGGGCAUACACCAAUGUACCAAACCCUAUCAAACUCCGAAUACCUUAUAUGUAAUCACAGCAGUCAGGCGGCGAGUGAUAAAAUCCGUCGUCAAGAGGGAAACAACCCAGACUACCAGCUAAGGUCCCUAAAUCUUACUUAAGUGGAAAACGAUGUGAAGUUACUUAAACAACCAGGAGGUUGGCUUAGAAGCAGCCAUCCUUUAAAGAAAGCGUAAUAGCUCACUGGUCUAGUGAUUUUGCGCGGAAAAUAUAACGGGGCUAAAGUAAGUACCGAAGCUGUAGACUUGCACACAACUUAGAUUAUUUAAGUUUAGAAUAUGAGAAACUAAGUUAUGUUUAGUUAUAUUUUUACUGAUUUUUAUAGAGUAAAGAUAGAAAUAAAACUUAGUAAAAUCAGUAAAAAUAUUCUUAGGCUAAAGUUAAGUAGUUUAAGUUGUGUGUAAGUGGUAGGAGAGCGUUCUAUUUGCGUCGAAGGUAUACCGGUAAGGAGUGCUGGAGCGAAUAGAAGUGAGCAUGCAGGCAUGAGUAGCGAUAAUUAAUGUGAGAAUCAUUAACGCCGUAAACCCAAGGUUUCCUACGCGAUGCUCGUCAUCGUAGGGUUAGUCGGGUCCUAAGUCGAGUCCGAAAGGGGUAGACGAUGGCAAAUUGGUUAAUAUUCCAAUACCAACAUUAGUGUGCGAUGGAAGGACGCUUAGGGCUAAGGGGGCUAGCGGAUGGAAGUGCUAGUCUAAGGUCGUAGGAGGUUAUACAGGCAAAUCCGUAUAACAAUACUCCGAGAACUGAAAGGCUUUUUGAAGUCUUCGGAUGGAUAGAAGAACCCCUGAUGCCGUCGAGCCAAGAAAAGUUUCUAAGUUUAGCUAAUGUUGCCCGUACCGUAAACCGACACAGGUGGGUGGGAUGAGUAUUCUAAGGCGCGUGGAAGAACUCUCUUUAAGGAACUCUGCAAAAUAGCACCGUAUCUUCGGUAUAAGGUGUGGUUAGCUUCGUACUAGGAUUUACUCCGAAAGCGAAGAAACUUACAACAAAGAGUCCCUCCCGACUGUUUACCAAAAACACAGCACUCUGCUAACUCGUAAGAGGAUGUAUAGGGUGUGACGCCUGCCCGGUGCUCGAAGGUUAAUUGAUGGGGUUAGCAUUAGUGAAGCUCUUGAUCGAAGCCCGAGUAAACGGCGGCCGUAACUAUAACGGUCCUAAGGUAGCGAAAUUCCUUGUCGGUUAAAUACCGACCUGCAUGAAUGGCGUAACGAGAUGGGAGCUGUCUCAAAGAGGGAUCCAGUGAAAUUGUAGUGGAGGUGAAAAUUCCUCCUACCCGCGGCAAGACGGAAAGACCCCGUGGACCUUUACUACAGCUUGACACUGCUACUUGGAUAAGAAUGUGCAGGAUAGGUGGGAGGCUUUGAGUAUAUGACGCCAGUUGUAUAUGAGCCAUUGUUGAGAUACCACUCUUUCUUAUUUGGGUAGCUAACCAGCUUGAGUUAUCCUCAAGUGGGACAAUGUCUGGUGGGUAGUUUGACUGGGGCGGUCGCCUCCCAAAUAAUAACGGAGGCUUACAAAGGUUGGCUCAGAACGGUUGGAAAUCGUUCGUAGAGUAUAAAGGUAUAAGCCAGCUUAACUGCAAGACAUACAAGUCAAGCAGAGACGAAAGUCGGUCUUAGUGAUCCGGUGGUUCUGUGUGGAAGGGCCAUCGCUCAAAGGAUAAAAGGUACCCCGGGGAUAACAGGCUGAUCUCCCCCAAGAGCUCACAUCGACGGGGAGGUUUGGCACCUCGAUGUCGGCUCAUCGCAUCCUGGGGCUGGAGCAGGUCCCAAGGGUAUGGCUGUUCGCCAUUUAAAGCGGUACGCGAGCUGGGUUCAGAACGUCGUGAGACAGUUCGGUCCCUAUCUGCCGUGGGCGUAAGAAGAUUGAAGAGAUUUGACCCUAGUACGAGAGGACCGGGUUGAACAAACCACUGGUGUAGCUGUUGUUCUGCCAAGAGCAUCGCAGCGUAGCUAAGUUUGGAAAGGAUAAACGCUGAAAGCAUCUAAGCGUGAAGCCAACUCUAAGAUGAAUCUUCUCUAAGCUCUCUAGAAGACUACUAGUUUGAUAGGCUGGGUGUGUAAUGGAUGAAAGUCCUUUAGCUGACCAGUACUAAUAGAGCGUUUGGCUUAUCUUUAAUAAAGCAU